UCCUACGGGAGGCAGCAGUGGGGAAUAUUGCACAAUGGGCGCAAGCCUGAUGCAGCGACGCCGCGUGAGGGAUGACGGCCUUCGGGUUGUAAACCUCUUUCAGUAGGGAAGAAGCCUUCGGGUGACGGUACCUGCAGAAGAAGCGCCGGCUAACUACGUGCCAGCAGCCGCGGUAAUACGUAGGGCGCAAGCGUUGUCCGGAAUUAUUGGGCGUAAAGAGCUCGUAGGCGGAUUGUCGCGUCUGCUGUGAAAACGCGAGGCUUAACCUCGCGCCUGCAGUGGGUACGGGCAGACUAGAGUGCGGUAGGGGAGACUGGAAGUCCUGGUGUAGCGGUGGAAUGCGCAGAUAUCAGGAGGAACACCGAUGGCGAAGGCAGGUCUCUGGGCCGUUACUGACGCUGAGGAGCGAAAGCAUGGGGAGCGAACAGGAUUAGAUACCCUGGUAGUCCAUGCCGUAAACGUUGGGCACUAGGUGUGGGGACCGUUUCCACGGUUUCCGCGCCGCAGCUAACGCAUUAAGUGCCCCGCCUGGGGAGUACGGCCGCAAGGCUAAAACUCAAAGGAAUUGACGGA
This 573-nucleotide ribosomal RNA is filed under the name uncultured bacterium. Its description in RNAcentral is "bacterial SSU rRNA". It matches the Rfam family "Bacterial small subunit ribosomal RNA", at positions 337 to 917 of the family's 1533-position model. The record is from RNAcentral.